This is a long non-coding RNA of Epinephelus moara (kelp grouper), 2346 nucleotides long. RefSeq lists it as uncharacterized. The record is from RefSeq and is a predicted model, not a curated record. The transcript is spliced from 3 exons. Lineage: Eukaryota; Metazoa; Chordata; Actinopteri; Perciformes; Serranidae.
AAACUGACAGCUGACGAGGAGAGUGCAAGUUGGAGUGAUUUAGCGGUGUUUUAGCGGAGUUUUAGUGAAGUUUGGGUGGCGUUUUCUUUGUAAAUAAUACUUAGUGUUGUAAAUAAUAAUGUUUGUGGUUUUUUGAGAGCCUUUGAGGUUUUUUAUGCCAUGUUUUUGAGUGUUUUUUGCCGUGUUUUCGUCGUGUUUUCACCAUAGUUCGUAGUUUUGCAAUCGUUUGUCUUUUUUGCAAUAGUUGGUGUUUUUAUAGUUCAUAGAUAGUUAUAGUCAGUUAUAGUUUUGUAAAUACUGGAGGAAAAAUGUCGGGGAGGUCGACGAGGGACAGGAGAGUCCCGUUGAGAUUUGUGGAUGAGGAGGAUGGACCGGAGGAGACUGGUGGAGUGUAGUCAUUUCAACCACAACGCUCUUAUUAAGGCUGAACUCCUCCAAGGCCCCUGUAUCUUCCUCCCUCUGCCUUCACCUUGCCCUCAUCUGCUCCCACGGCUUCUUCGCGGCUGCCCAAUUUCACCGACCUGAGUUUCUAAGUUCCACCUUUGUUGCAGAGAGUCCUCCUCUGGGGAUCCCAAAGCAAUAAUACAGCAUCAGAGGCAAAGGGUAUUGAUCCUGGUGCCAAGAGAGAAAUGGAGGAAAUGGUCUUGGGAAUCUACAUUACCCAACAUGAUGGAGCAGAGCCCAGCCUGAAAAUGUCGGCGUAAUUAUUUUAAAAGUGCUGUAAGUCUGAAGAAGCUAGUUGCUAAAAUGGAUGGUCCAAAGGGACCAGUCCUGUCCUACUGAGCUGAGAUUGGCUGAAGCACAUCAUGAUAUUCAUCCAGUCCUCGCAAACGAACGUUUUGGGGGGGGGUGCACGAAAUCCCACUUAAGGACAGCUGACAGAGGGCCUUUGGCCUUGGGCACAGACCCUGCUGACCUCCCGUCCUCCCUCUGGUCCUGUGGCGGAGGAGCAGAGCACAGCCUGGGCUUGCUGGAGGCAGCUUAGGGGCUGUGGGAUAUAGCCAGGCAGCUGAGAGAUGAGCCAGGGCCUGCAGAGCAUGCUGGAGGAGGAUUACUGCUCAUUGGGAUGCAAUUUUUCUGGAGCAUUCAUCACAGAUGUAUUUUCCCAAGCAUGGACUGCAGUCAUGGACAGCAGUAACAACAAACAGUUCUCAUUCCGAGUGGUGAGAUACCUAGCUUUGUCACAUCCCUCUGAGUCUCAAAGUGACGCACGGGGCACCCUUUAGUGUCUCUAUAGACCCUUUUACACAGCCUCUUCAAGAUGAGAAUUUCAUGCCGCUUCACCAUUCUGUGUAGGGGGUAAAAUCACAGAAUGGGGGGGGGGCAGAGUUUUGUUUCCUUUAAGCUGGCAGGGAAGGUAGUAACAAUGCCAAAACAACCACUGUGUAAGGGGACAGCCGCAGGACAGGGUCAUUGGAGGCACAGGUGUGACAUUUGGGUAUCUGUUAUGCAUGAAACCUGCAGCGGUAGACUUAAAAUGUAGCUGAUAGCAGUUAGCAGCUAACUCAAAGAGAAGAACAGUGGCCAAAAAUGAAUUGGGAAAACAAUGAGGUCCAGGCGGUCAUAUUGUAACACAUUGUUGAUGUUGUUAAAGGGUGACUGUUAAGUUUGGUCAACAAAUCUACUUGGGAAUAAAAAUCACGUAUAAUGUCAGUGCUUAAUGACCGUUCGUAAAUAUGGUCAUGUUACAUUAAAAUAAUAAUGACUCUUGUUUUCCCAUGGGACACAAACUGCUGUUACCUGAGUUAAAGUUCAGUUUUGUUUGACCCAUCCAACUCACUUACCUCCUACUCCACACAGACUUUCUUGCCCUUGCUUAAACUACGAUAGCACUUCUUUUUCUUUUCUUUCUUUCUUUCUUUUUUUUUCGAGUGGUAAAAUAAAGCUGUUGCAGUGAGGUUAGUGUAGCUGUUUAUGUCUGUAGAAAUAUAAUAUCUUUGGGUUUUUAGAUGUUUCAUUAAACACAAGUUUACAAGACAUACGUUUAAAGACAGCUCUUUGAGCUCUUUGUAUUUAUUGUUGACGUAAUCUUAUGAUGUGUUAAAGACCAAAUAAUUCUGGCAUGGGAGCAGUGCAUUUUAAAGGGUUUUAACUUCAUCAGUGUUAAAUGGAAGAGGGUUAACUGAACAAUUGAUAGUUUUUUGCAGUUUGAUGAGUCACUAUCUGUACAUUUUUGUCUUUUUAUUGUAAUUUCUUUUUAGUUCAUUUAUUUUGAGUGUUUAAAGUGUAAAGUGAUGAAUGCCUGUAUAAAGUAUGGAGUUUUGUUAACAUUUUUAAUGUAUUUGCUUCCUUUGUUUCAUUGUGAGAUAAACAUGAAGCUUUACUUCUUUGGGCUUUUGCCACAUG